RNAcentral lists this ribosomal RNA (440 nucleotides) under uncultured bacterium. RNAcentral describes it as "partial 16S ribosomal RNA". It matches the Rfam family "Bacterial small subunit ribosomal RNA", at positions 338 to 795 of the family's 1533-position model. The record is from RNAcentral.
CCUACGGGUGGCAGCAGUAGGGAAUCUUUCUCAAUGGGGGAAACCCUGAAGCAGCAACGCCGCGUGGAGGAUGAAGGUUUUAGGAUUGUAAACUCCUUUUGUUAGAGAAGAUUAUGACGGUAUCUGACGAAUAAGCACCGGCUAACUCCGUGCCAGCAGCCGCGGUAAUACGGAGGGUGCAAGCGUUACUCGGAAUCACUGGGCGUAAAGAGUGCGUAGUCUGUGUAAUAAGUCAUAUGUGAAAGCCUGUAGCUUAACUACAGAACUGCAUUUGAAACUGUUACUCUGGAGUGUGGAAGAGGUAGGCGGAAUUCUUGGUGUAGGAGUAAAAUCCGUAGAGAUCAAGAGGAAUACUCAUUGCGAAGGCGACCUGCUGGAACAUUACUGACGCUGAUGCACGAAAGCGUGGGGAGCAAACAGGAUUAGAUACCCGGGUAGUC